Molecule: ribosomal RNA, 406 nt
Filed under: uncultured bacterium
Lineage: Bacteria
Description: partial 16S ribosomal RNA
Rfam family: Bacterial small subunit ribosomal RNA
Source: RNAcentral
GACGAACGCUGGCGGCGUGCUUAACACAUGCAAGUCGAACGAGUGGCGAACGGGUGAGUAACGCGUAUCAAACUGCUCGAUGGAGGGGGAUAACUACUGGAAACGGUAGCUAAUACCGCAUACCAUCGGAUGUGCCCAGAUGGGAUUAGCUAGUAGGUGGGGUAACGGGUCACCUAGGCCACGAUCCCUAGCUGGUCUGAGAGGAUGACCAGACGCACUGGAACUGAGACACGGUCCAGACUCCUAAGGGAGGCAGCAGUAGGGAAUAUUGCACAAUGGGCGCGAGCCUGAUGCGGCCAUGCCGCGGGUAUGAAGAAGGCCUUCGGGUUGUAAGGUACUUUCAGCGAGGAGGCGUUACUCGCAGAAGAAGCACCGGCUAACUCCGUGCCAGCAGCCGCGGUAAUAC